GACAGGCAUGAAGACAUUUAUCGUGUAGAAGAAGAAGAAAGGAUGAUCCAGUGGUUAGGGCAUUAGCCUGGGAUUUGGGAGACCUUCAUUCAAUUCCCUGCUCUGUCACGGACCGUGUGAUGUUGGAUCCAUUUUGUAGUCGUGGAUUGCAGAUUCCUUCCCUGAGAUGUCCAAGCACACACUAUGCUUGCAUUAUCACAACUGUCAUAGACCAGCACAGGACACUGGAGUAAAGCCACAGGAGGACAGGCAAGUAGGAAGGGGUUUUAUUUUUUUUUUAAAUUAUAUGACAUUUGCAAUUAAAAUUAUUUUAUGCCUUUUGAUAACAUGAAAACAAAAACGUUGCAAACUGUAUUUCUUUGCAUUAAAAGCUCAGCCUCCUUCAUAAGGUAAAAAGGUGGAAGUUUGCUUCCUUUCUGACUUAGUCGAUUUCAUUAAAUGUGAAUAUGAGAAGCUGGAAAGGCCACUCAAGAGAGAGUGUGAGAGAAAGCAUCCUAUUCUUUUGCUCCAAGAGAGAAUGAAAGCACUGCAGUGUCUGGAGUUGUAUAAAAUGGAAACCAAGUACGAAAGCUGUCCUGCUAGACCAAUAAAAAUGACUGAGGCAAAAUAGAAUAAUUGAUUUGCUUUACUGAUUGUAAUGUAAAGCAGCAUAUGGCCUUUUCCCACGAGGAAUUAUUUUAAAUAUGUAGCUGGAUUUUUAAUUAGCAACUUAUAUUAACUACUAUUUAUACCACUACAUCAAUGAGCUAUCAGUGUAUGCUUUUCCAAAGUGUUUGUAUAAGGAAUUACAUAUGGUAAUAAAAGGCAAAAGGGAGAUGCAGUUUUGAGGAAAGAUCUGGAUAACCAUGCUCUAUUACUAAGUAUUUCUGGAAAAGGAUGAAAAGGAAUUGAGUACAGAGAACAACAAAGUUGGCAAACAUCCAGACAGGGAAGUAAGGGAUAGUCUGGAUGGAUAACUGGUGGAACAUUACCAUUUAUGUUGACACACACUUCUGAUGUUGAUGGAAGCAUGGAAAAGGGCAAUUUACCAUACUCUUUGAUGGGGAGAAAUAUCACCAGAGGGAAAAAUGCAAAACUGCAAAAUAUUUCUGGUGAGACAGCUAGAUUUUUCCCUUGAAAACUUGUUAGCUUUAAGGGGGUUGAGGAGAGAAAAAGCAUACUAUUAAUUAUUCUCCUAGAUUUUUAAAAGACAAGUUUGACCUUGAUCCUGCACAUACUUUAAUACGUGAGUACCAAUGUUGGCUUCAGUGAGACUAUGUGUGCUUAAAAACUUAAGCAUGUGUGUGUUUGCAUUAGGGCUAGAGGAUACAAUUUAAAGUAUCCAAGGGGCAUUUCAUUUUGCAAAGGGGACCAAUAUGUACUGAGACACAAAUGAGAGUUCUAUGACUGAGUGAGGAAAGUUGUAAAUGCAACUUUUUUUGUGUGCCCAACAUUGUAAUAUAUGCAGGAAAAUUCAAAGCCAACCCAUUCCUGCAGUGACAAGUAACGAGUAACCACUCUAGCUAUAGUUGCAAUAGAAGAAAUCAGAUACUUCAUACGUUGAUUAAAGUGUGACACUUAUUCCAUCAGCAUACCACGUGCAUGCUAGCAAAGGAAAAAAUAUUGAAAGAGAAAAUAAAAACUCUGUCUACUGUUAGUUAAGUGAGGUCCUGUAGUUGUAAGAUGUCAUUAUAUACUUGAUGCAGGAACUGACAACAUUCAAACCCCACGGCAAUAUUCAGUUAAGACAUUUAAACUGAGGCUCGUUUACCAUGGCAAAACCUAUAACUCUUAAGUAAGAUCAGUACUGACAUAAUUAAGGCUUUGCUGCUGCGCCGCCAAUGAGAUACAUGAGAAAUUUCAGAUGAAGAAUGCAUAUUGUAAUGGAACUGAGAAUUUUAACAAGGCAGAAUCAAUAUUAGUAACGUAAACAGUAAGUUUUAAUUCUUCUUGGUCCCAGGAUAUUAGAGACACAAGGCGGGUGAGAUAUUUUAUUGAACCAACUUCUGUUGGUGAAAGCAACAAGGUUUUGAGCUUACACAGAGCUAUUCUUCAGAUAUUACCUCUGCCACCUUGUCUCUCCAAGCUUUAAUUCUGACAGAGAUUAAGUCACUCAAAUCAACCCAAGAUUUCAUUCAAUAGAGCAGCAUUGGUUUGCUUGGAGCUUUACUGUCAUGCUGUAGGAUUCUAUAGGCUGGAGAGAAACAGAUCCAGUGUUCACAUUCAGAGAAAUUAUUCCUUUAGGCUCCAAAUCAGUUAGGUACAUAAGCAUGUGAGUAGUCCUCCGGACAUGAAUUAUAGCUUUAAUUAGGAAUUUUAGUAAUUACAAUUAGGAGGGUUUUUGUUUUUAAAUGAGAGCUUCAACAGCAGGUGGUUUGCAUUUCUCUUUCUUGAAGUUCCUCUUUAAAUACAUCAUUACAUGAGAAAAAACAAAGUCCAAUUCAGUGCAACAUUAAGGCCGCGCAGGCAGUCAGUAAAAGGCAAAAAAUGAAAUAAGGUUCCAACAGUAACUUUAACUUGGCUUCAUUACACUACUGUAUGCCUUACGAGAUACAUCUUUUUACAUCAUACAAUAUUAUACAUAACUGGAAAAUAGUCAUAAAAUAGAAUACAGAUACAAAGUAGCUAUGUUCAUGUUGUUUUUGGAACCUUAAAUUCUGCACUUCCCGACUUUAGGUGACUUUAAUGCACUGUUAAGGUUGUUUGCUUAAUUUUUUUUUUCCACUUUAUUUCUGAGUUUUUUCUAAAGAAAAGAAAAAAAUCUAAGGUAGGGCUAAUGCUUAAGUUGUUAAUGUAUGCUGACAUCUAUAAACUCUUUCAAGAGCUUAAGCCACAUAUAAUAGAGUUUAAUCUGAAAACAACUGGUCUAAAGCUUGCAUUGUGAGGUUGCAUGUUUGUUUCUCAAUAACUCAUGUAAAAUUUGCUCAGUUUACAAGAUCUUUUUUUUUUUUUUUUAAAAUCCAGCCCUCCCCUCUGAAAUCCUGCAAGGCUUGCAAACUCAACCUGGGAUCUGAAAGUCAAGCUGUUUCCUUUCCAUCUUGUUAACUAUGGUCAAUAAUGAAUGGUGCAGAACAAUUUCUGUCCUCUGUUACACAUGUGCAACUCCAAUGUUAACUUCUACUUUCUUUCAGCCUUGACAAAUUCCUUUGACCUCAACUGGGUGAGACUAUAAUCUUGCAACUCUCACUUAACAAUUCUCUUGAUUAUGCCCCAAGCCAGUAUGGAAUCCAGCCAAUUCUUCUAUAGCUCUGGUGAUUCUGCAGUAUUGACAGGAAUAAAAAGUACUAAAGGUUUAUCUUACUAAAAUAAGUAGAUAUUACAGAAAAAGACAUGGAGCAAGUCUGUUGAGUAAGAGGACAAUUUUUACAGAGUUACUCUUGAGACUAGAACCUCAUGUUAGGGGCAUCUGUCCCUCAAUAUACAUUGAAAAGUGUACGUGUAAAACAAAACAACUCUGCACUUAAAAACAAAACAAAAAAUAUGCAUGCAAGGUGUUAUAACCUUAAAUAUAGCACACAUCUAGUGCUUGUUAUCAAUUUUUAUGUUCAUUAUAUAAUGAAAACAGAAUGCAGGUGAUUUGCAAUUUAGACUAGAUUUUUGCAUGUAAUUAAUAUGACUGGAUAAGAGUUUUUUCUGUAUCCAAUUUUGCACGUGCAACUGCUUGUGUGCACUUCUAAAAAUGUGGGCCUAAAUAUUUUCUAAAAUGCUAAUGUACAUGUAUUGUAAAUUCCUUUUAAUUGGCUUGCAGAGUAACGUGGCAACAAUUCAUUGUUUACAUUACUUCCGUAUAUGUAUCACUUAAAUCAAAGGACUGGUAACUAGAAGAAAAAGGGUUGACAGAGGAAGAAGAAACUGUAUGCUUUUUUGUUUUUAUUUUGAAUCCAUUUUGUAACUUAAGCUGUAUACCCUUAUUGUUAUGACAUCGAGGAAAAAGUGUGCUCCUGUAUAAAACAACACAUCCUGCUAAAAACUUUUAAUGCAACAAUUCAUGGUAAAUUUGGCCACUGUAAAUCACAUUUGACGUUUUCAGUCUAUCUUCAGAAAAAGGCUUUCCUACAGAAAAAUGUCCUAAGGUUGUAUAGUAAAUAUUAACCUGAGCAACUAAGGAGUACAGAGAAUAGUUAUUUUAGAAAGGUCUCGCUGACAAGAAAAUGGUUAAACUGUAGUGCUGGAAUGUUAGCAACAUUUUCAUAUAUUUCAAAUAAACACUCAAGACUAUGGAAUAUAUUAGAAAACACUCAGACUUUUCUUUCAGGCUAAUGGAAAAUAGGAAUGCAACAAUUUUUUCCAUGAGACAGAGCAAUUGGUUGGCUACACUUUAGCUUUCUUCAGUUAUAAAACUACUGCUUAUAAAGAGGAAAAAAAGCCCCUUGAAAUUAAUGACUAAUACUGAUAAUGACUGGCUUAUUCAGUGCUAAUUGCUUGGGAAUCCUCCAGUGGAAACUACAAUAAUUAAAGAGAUUGCUGCCUAAAUCAUUUCCAGGUGCAGUAAAAUUCACUAGUACAAGUAUUCCCGUCCUUAUUUUUGAGAAAGUUAUGGUGCAACCUAAACUUUUCCACUGUCCUGCAUACAAAAUUAACAAAAGAAGUCUUAUUACAAUAAUGUAAUAUUUAGUUCUGCACAGACUUUAAAAUUGGGUACUAAGGGUGAAAUCCUGGCCCUAAUGAAGGCAAUGGGAGUUUUAUCAUUGAGUUCAGUGGGGCCAGAAUUUCACUUUAAAUAUUUUAAUUUUAUUAAAAAGAAACAAAAUUCCAUUUAUCCAGCACAAUAGGUAGAUAGUUGUUUUUACUCUCUGUAUUUCAAGAGGCUUAUUUUUAUCCAAAUUUCCUAAAUGAUGGGUGGUACAUAUAUGUCAACAAGUAUUGCGCAUUUUAGUAAAGAAAUCAAGAAGAUUCUCAAUGGUUUUAAACUGCAUGUUAGCAAGGUGAGAAACCUCCACAGGAUUUAUUUUGCAAAAGAUAAGAUUGCCUGAGGGCAUCUACAAGCUCUUUGCAGCAGGAAUGGUGAUCACUUACCCUAGGAAAAUAAAUGAAAGCAGCUAUGCAGGCUUGGACAAGGCUAUAGGAUACAAUUAACGAGCAAUUACGUUAGGGAGGGUGCUAUGUAGAUGCUCAGAAUCAGAUAUCACAGGUUAAAGCUGGUAUUUUUGUGGAAAAACGUAUUAAAAAAAGCUAACAUUAAAAACCAAACAAACCCUGAAAACACCCCUUACUGGUGAGGAAGCACUGUCUAGUAAUUAGAGGAUGGGACUACAAUUCAAUAACUCCAUCUCUUAUUCCCACUUCUGCCACUGAAUAGCACGGAAACCUUAGAACAAAGGCUAGAGUCAGAGAAAUUGUCUACUUUGCAAUUAAAAACCCAUGGCUGGCCCCUGCCAACUAGCUUGGGCUUACGAGACUGUUUAAUUGUGGUGUAGACAUUUGGGCUCAGGUUGGAGCCCAGGCUCUGGGACCUGCGAAGGGAAAGACCAGCCAAGGGUGUUUAACUGCAGUGGGUCUUAGGCAUGUAACUGCCUCUUUAAAAACUGCAGCUAGGUGACCACAGAUUGAGGAUUUUGUGCAUGUCUUAUGGGAGGCCCAAUUUCAAAUCCCUCUCCUGCCCAACUGAAGCAGGGACUUGAACCUAACUCUACCACAUCCCAGGUGAGUUCCCUAAGCACUGGGCUAUAGAGUCACUCACUCUCUCUGGCCCAAUUAUUUAUAGAAAGUGGAAAAAAGUUUCACCAAUGCCAAAAGCCUAUCCAUUAGUGUGCUCAGCUGGGAGGUGGAGAUCUGGGAUCACACAGAGGAAGGAAUUUGAAAAUGUCUCCCACAUCCCAGGUAAGUGCCCUAAACACUAGGCUACUGGAUGGACACGCACAGAAUUCCAAAGCUAUCUUUUGUGCAGAACCCCAAUCCUGUAAGCAUGCUCAGAGAAUACCUUUGAAAUUGGAUCCUGCCUGUAAGAGACAAGGGAAUGCCUAGUUUGAGAAUGCCACUGGGGCUUAGACAUGAGCUAGGGCUCUGAGCAGUUCGUUUCCUGUGAGAUUUAGGAAGACUUGUGCCUGCCUACUGGCAGAAAUGUAUGCACUAUGGGGACUUUAGGCACCUGCACGGUUAGGUGGCAGCUAAGAAGCGAUUUUGAGAAUUUCAGUGGCACCUAAAUGUUGGACUUAAGUACCUAAAGAGGCAGCUAGGCACCUAAGUAUCUUUGUGGAUCUAGCCCCUACCCUUUCUGCUUCCCCAUCUGUAAAAUGGUGGAAUAGGAUUGACCAGUCUUAUGCUUAUGCUGAUGCUUAAAGUAUUAAAACAUUCUGGCUACCUUUGGAUGAAAGGUUAUAUACAUAAAGUGAAUUUAUAGUUAGAGAAUGUAAGGGUAAGAGAUUAAAACUAUUUCUAGUGCUACACAGGAUUUCCCCCUCAUUUGUGAGAACCUUUGAUAUUAUUCUUCUGGCACUAGCUAGCUAAAGGUGGCAAAAAAUCAUUGCUUUGAGAUUAUUGAUUCUACUUUUGCAUCUUAGGGAACAAAUUCCAUAGUUCAUCACUCAUUCACAGGGGAGAAGUACCUCAUACAAGAUCUUAAAUCUGUAAUUCAUGGAGGAACAAAGACAUUGGUAGCCCACGUGCCUGAGAUAUCUCCUCUAGUAGAUGGUUUGCUCAAGGGGUGCUUUCCGAGUAUCAACUGAAGAACUAAACUAAUGUUUCUUGACCAUAGUCAGCUUACCUAAUUGGUGCUACUAAAGAAAAAAAAUAUAUAUGUAUCUGAACACAGGAGUAAAUUACUCCUUCAUGGCAGGUGCUGAAGGCUUCUGGCAAUGGACCAGUGUGGUUUGACCAUGCAAGGGAAGGCAAAAUAUUUCAGGUAGUAAGAGAGCCAGCAUGGAACAUGCUCACUCUGCAUCCAGCUCAGCUUUGUGGAGAUGCUUUCGUGCAAGCUAAUGAAGGAAUGGGGACCUCACACGCCACUUGGUUGGAGUAGCCGCCAGAGAGCAAAUUAACAGCUUGGUGGUGGAAAAGUCUUCUUCCCUCUUGAUCUACUCCAGCUCCCUUGCCUCUGGUGACCAAUCUGUAUGGCUUAAGCAGCAAGAACCUGAGCCAUAUAAGAAUCUUCCAAAUGGAGAACUGAGAGAGCAGUUCAUUUUCUGUCACGGCCUACUAGCAUGGAGGUCAAGUAGACCAGACAGGGAAUCAGAAAUGGUGUGCUUGCUUGUGGUUAAGGGGGUUGUGUGCUGUAACAAAAGUUCCCUGGAAGAACUGGAUCCUAUAUGAAUUUAAAAGCCUAAGUGCUUUAACCACCACCCUCCUGCCCAAAAUAACCCCCCCACCAAACUGUAUACUUCUAAUGGAGAAGUAUAGCUGAUGUUCAAGUUCUCUUGCCCACAAUGUUAAUGAUAUAACAAUAUAUGGUCAAGAUAUGAUGUUUUGCUUAAUACAAUUAAUAUUUCAACAACAACAGGGAGUCCGGUGGCACCUUAAAGACUAAACAGAUUUAUUUGGGCAUAAGCUUUCGUGGGUAAAAAACCCACUUCUUCAGUUCAGAUCUUCAGUUCAUGCAUCCGAUGAAGUGAACUGUAGCUCACGAAAGCUUAUGCUCAAAUAAAUUUGUUAGUCUCUAACGUGCCACAAGUACUCCUUUUCUUUUUGCGAAUACAGACUAACACGGCUGCUACUCUGAAAUGAAUCAUGUAAUUAUGUUACUCAUUCUUGAAGAGGCAGAUUUUUUUCAGCCCAUUCAUCUAGCUGAAUGGCCUUCACAUCAAGCAUGUUAAACCUCUACUAUAGGCGUCCUUAAUGCAUGAAGUAGUCAGUUAGCUCUGGAGGCUUAGAUGAUUUCACUUGUAUUAUAUUUUGAAACAAAUUUUUUUUUCAGGUUGAACUUUCAUUCUAAUUGAAUCUGAAUUUUAAAGCUUCUCUUUAUCAGAAGAAAGGGGAGAACAAAGUGAGGGUAAGCAGAUGUUCUUGUUUAUACAUUGUUUUUACAGAAUGAACUCUGGGAUUGGUUUGAUCUCUACCUUGUCACUGAAUUGAUGAAAGGAAAUUUGCAUCAAAGAACUACUAAUUGCUCCAAACCCUCUGCUUAGGAAUGAAUAUCAUGAAUGCUACUUGCCAGGACAAAAACUGUAGAGACAGCAGAGAAACAGUAGCUAAAGACUCAAAAAGAGGAGGGCCCAUUCCAUUAACAACUUUACGUUCCAUGGAAUAUUGAUCAAUCUUAGUUUAUUUUAAAUGCUAUCCUGAAUAACAUCUUAAGAGCUAGAUGGGUAAAAUAGUGAAAUAGGAGAACCGUAAAGGUGGGUUUUAUUACAGCCAAAUGCAAGGCCAUAUCUAGGAACAAAGAAUGUAUGUCACAUAAGACAGGAGUCAGUAUCCUGCAGUGGAGUGACACUGAAAAGGAUUCAGGAGUUAUGACAGAUAAUAAACUGACCAUGAGUUACCAGUGUGAUGCUGUGACUAAGAGAGUGAAUAUGAUGCUUGGAUACAUAAGCAGAGAAAUGUCAAAUAGGAGUAUGGAGGUGACAUUUACCUUAGCAUUAGUAUGCCGCAAUGGUGAGAUCAUUACUGGAAUAAUGGGUCUAGUUCUGGUGUCCACAUCUCAAAAGAAAUGUUAAAAAAUGGGAGGAUGUUUAGGAAAAAAAGCUCCAAGAAUGAUUUGAGGUCUGGAAAAUAUGCAUCAGUGAGACUUAAGAACCUCUAUUUAGGUAACUGAAAAGAAGGUUAAGGGAUAAACUUGAUCACCAUCUACGGGCUUGUCUACACUUACGUUUUACAGCGCUCUAACUUGCUGGCUCAGGUGGGUGAAAAAUCACUCCCGAGCACAGCAAGUCAGAGCGCUCUAAAGUGCUAGUGUAAACAGGCUCCAAGCGCUGGGAGCCAGGCUCCCAGCACUUGGAGCUAAUCCCCUCGUGGAGGUGGAUUACCAAGAGCGCCGGGAGAGAGCGUCUCCCAGCGCUUGCGCGCGACCACACUUGCACUUCAAAGCGCUCCCGCGACAGUGUAGCCAUGCCCUACAAGUACCUACACAGGGAGGAGGUUUCUGAUAGUAGAUGGCUCUUUCAUCUAGCAGAAAAAUGUAUAACAUGAUCCAAUGGUUGAAAUCUGAAGCUAGACAAAUUCAGGCUAGAAAUAAGGUGCAAAUUUUUAACAGUGAAGGUAACUGACUGCAACACCUUCAGAUGGGAUGGUGGCUUCUAUAUCACUUGAAAUCUUUAAAUGAAGACUGGAUAUCUCCCCUAAAAGAUAUGGAUACAAAUCAUUAAAACAUUUUUAUUGUUAGAAAAACAUUUACAUAGUCUAGAUUUAGGCCUUAAAUUGAAAGUGAUCCUCUCAAGAUUACUGCCUACUUUCUUAGUUUAGUGAAUGUAAUGUAUAAAGAACAAGCCUAGCAAUAUCUGCAGCCAAGGAAUAUGCUAAUUCAGAAUAAUUUAUAUUGGAAUGGAAUCCCAGCUCAGCCGCUGUUUCUAUCAUUGACAGUACUCAGUACAUAAUUUGUUUUUGGAGGUUAAAUGUUCUACAGGUAAAAGAGCCCAUCCAGCACUCUUUACUGAAUUACAUGAGUUCAUUUUGAAGUAAAUGGAAAACUCUGCUUGAAUAAGCAGCACACGACAAAGCUGAAAUUUUAAAACAGGAAAAGUACUAUUAUACUAAGAUGCCACUAUCACACUUUAGCUGAGUUAAUUUGUACUUAAGGCAGCAAUUAAACCUCUUUCUUGUGUAUAAAUAAGAUAGUUGAUCCUUCCCUAUCUUGCAACACUAUCCGGCUUUAAGAUUAGACUCGAUAAGUUUAUGGAGGAGAUGGUAUAACAUGAUUUUGGCAAUUAAUUGAUCUUUAAAAAUUCAUAGUAAAUAGGCCCAAUGGCCUGUGAUGGGUUGUUAGAUGGGGUGGGACCUGAGUUACCACAGAAAAUUCUUUCCUGGGUAUCUGGCUGGUGAAUCUUGCCCACAUGCUCAGGGUUUAGCUGAUGGCAAUAUUUGGGGUCGGGAAGGAAUUUUCCUCCAGGACAGAUUGGAAGAGGCCCUGGAGGUUUUUCGCCUUCCUCGGUAGCAUGGGGCACAGGAAACUUGCUGGAGGAUUCUCUGCUCCUUGAAGUCUUUAAACCAUGAUUUGAGGACUUCAAUAGCUCAGACAUAGGUGAAAGGUUUUUCGCAGUAGUGGGUGGGUGAGAUUGUGUGGCCUGUGUUGUGCAGGAGGUCAGAUUGGAUGAUCAUAAUGGUCCCUUCUGACCUUAGUAUCUAUGAAUAAUUUUUCUGCAGUUACAAGUAAAUCUGGUAAUUUGAGGAACUGAAACAUUUAAAAGUUACCCCUUUUGGGAGUGGGGGGGAAGGAUAGUCUAACCUUUUUGAACUCUAAGUGGGAUUUUUGGUGCUUGAAAGUUGAAUAUUGACUAGUAGAUUCUAAAAUAAGGAAAUAUAAGCUGUUGCUUCAAGUUGUAGUCAUAGCCAUUUUCCAUAUACAGCAAAUAUUACAGUGUACAACUGGUUUUAACUUUAUCAUGCCACUAUUCAAUGUAAAAUAAAAUACUCAAUCCAUUAUUUUUGCUGAAGAGACCAUAAAAUAAAUCUGAUGGUUUCAAUUUAGGAGAAGCAGAGAAAACAUUCAUCAUCCAAAAGGACAGCCUUACAGCUGUCAGUUAUAAAGUUCACUACAUCAGUUGAACUGUCAGCAAGGAGCAGCUCCUAGAACUUGUCUCAGACUGUGGGAAGUCCGUAGAACUCCAUGCCUCUGUGGUAAUCUGCAUGCCUCCAUAGUGUUUUAGUACAUGAGCCGCUCUCCUGGCUGCUUUACAAGCCUUGUGAAAACCCCUUUGGCUAGUGAUCCCUGUAUUACUACCUCCUCCCUCCCUAAAAAGCUAGAAUUCAAUUUCUAGGACAAGAUUUUCAAAAGCACUUGUAUCAGCCUAAUUCUGCUCCCAUUAAAGUAUACAGUAAAAUUUCUAUUGACUUUAUUAGGAGCAGAGUUAGGCCAAUGUAUGUUGUUUUGAAAAUCUCACCUCUGAACUGUAACAGCAGAAAUCUGUAUAUUCGUGCAAAAGUUUCAAAAACUACCAACAACAAUUUAUAUCAGUAUAAAAUGUGUGCUUAUAGAUUGCAUGAACAUUGACAGGCAAUGCAGGAGUCACCUGCCUAGGACCUACUGCAGGGGAAGAAAAUUGGCCAAAGAUUUCAGGAGUGGAGUUAGUCAGGACUAGGGAAACAAUUAACUGCUUUAACCACCACCCUCCUGCCCAAAAUAAACCCCCCACCAAACUGUAUACUUCUAGUGGAGAAGUCUAGCUGAUGUUCAAGUUCUCUUGCCCACAAUGUUAAUGAUAUAACAAUAUAUGGUCAAGAUAUGAUGUUUUGCUUAAUACAGUUCUGCAUCAAGAUGCCCCAACCCCAUUUCCAACCCUUGGACUUCUGCUUCCACAUUUACGUUAAAAAAAAAAAAAGCAAAUAUUAGUGAAAUGUAUAUUCAUAACAAAAAUUACAUGCAAAAAUUAAGGUCAGGCAAUUUUGUGUACACUGAGGGCAAGAAUAUUGCUAAAUUGAAAGCAAGUUGGUGAUUUAAAAGCUGAUUUUUAUUCUGGGAGCGGACUGGAGAAUGAUAUUGGGCAUGAAUGUUGCUAUAGUUUAAGAUUUCCUUGCCUUAGUGGUCAUGUUGUAAGAAAACAAACUAAACUGGCCUACCUUAACUAAAGUAACUGAGUUUGUGAGAAUUAUACAUAAACAAAAAAAAAAGGGCAUAAAAUCCAAAAAAUGAUUCUUUAUAAUACAGUGGACCCCUCCACUCCCAAAGGCAGCAUGAGAGGGAGUUAGGAGAAAGCAGAACAGGACUGACUUAAAUAUACAUUUGGAGAAAGACUGUCAGUUUAAUUUGAUUCUAGGCAGCCCUAUUUAAUACAAAACAUUUCGAAGAUCAUGAAUUUGAAUUCAGAACUAUUGAAAUAUAAGAGAAAAAGCUAGCUAGCUAAUUGUGUUUAAACACAGGUGAGUGGCACAACUUCCAAACCUAGAUCCCAGGGAAUUACACACAUGCUUAUGAUUAACUCAUAUAAGUAAUCCCUUUGGAGGUCAGUGAGUCUAAAGUGUGUGUGCUUAACUUCUUUACACAUGUGAAGCCUUUUCAGAAUCAAGGCCUUAAGACUAUUAUUAGGGGGGAAAACAACUUCAGAUAGCCAUGUUGAGUGUUUAAGUGUCCCCCAAAAUUAUAACUGACAAGAAGUUUUGUAUAUUCUUUCUCAUUUCCUUCUACAGGGUAUCCUUUAUUAAAAAAAAAAUAGAAUCAGAUCGGUGCUUCACUCUGCUGCCCAUGUAUUUUCCCCCUUUGCAAAGUGUCAACAUUUUAAAUAAGUGCUAAACUGAAUACCUCUUAUAUCAGUGGUGGGGAACCUGCGGCCCGUCAGGGUAAUCUGCUGGCAGGCCACCAGACAGUUUGUUUGCAUUUGCACGGCCGCCCGCAGCUCCCAGUGGCUGUGGUUUGCCGUUCCUGGCCAAUGGGAGCUGCGGGAAGGGGUGGCCAGCGUGUCCCUGGCCACAGGUUGCCCACCACUGUCUUAUAUCAUAUAGUUAAUAUAUUUCAUUACUCACCCAUGGUUAAACAGUAACUUUGACAGAAAGAAGAGUAAAUUAAUAGACACUUUCUGAUGAUCCCACAAUGAACAUGAAAUGAAUUCAACAUUGCAAAUUGCUUAACAUUUUGGGUUCUACUUUAACAAGUUUAUUAAUAAAAUGUAACCCAAAAUAAUGACAAGUGAAGAAUAUCCUAAAAA
Molecule: long non-coding RNA, 12704 nt
Organism: Chelonia mydas (Green sea turtle)
Lineage: Eukaryota; Metazoa; Chordata; Testudines; Cheloniidae
Exons: 2
Source: RefSeq, a predicted model, not a curated record